GGCCCGUUAUCUCAGUUGGUUAGAGCGUCGUGCUAAUAACGCGAAGGUCGUGGGUUCGAUCCCCCCACGGGCCA
This 74-nucleotide transfer RNA is filed under the name Schistocerca americana (American grasshopper). Its description in RNAcentral is "tRNA-Ile". It matches the Rfam family "tRNA". Rfam says of the family: Transfer RNA (tRNA) molecules are approximately 80 nucleotides in length. Their secondary structure includes four short double-helical elements and three loops (D, anti-codon, and T loops). RNAcentral also lists the same sequence under 1 other name. The record is from RNAcentral. Lineage: Eukaryota; Metazoa; Arthropoda; Insecta; Orthoptera; Acrididae.